GACGAACGCUGGCGGCGUGCUUAACACAUGCAAGUCGAACGGAAAGGCCCUUCGGGGUACACGAGUGGCGAACGGGUGAGUAACACGUGGGUGAUCUGCCCUGCACUUCGGGAUAAGCCUGGGAAACUGGGUCUAAUACCGGAUAGGACCAUGGACUUCACGGUUUGUGAUGGAAAGCUUUUGCGGUGUGGGAUGGGCCCGCGGCCUAUCAGCUUGUUGGUGGGGUAAUGGCCUACCAAGGCGACGACGGGUAGCCGGCCUGAGAGGGUGUCCGGCCACACUGGGACUGAGAUACGGCCCAGACUCCUACGGGAGGCAGCAGUGGGGAAUAUUGCACAAUGGGCGCAAGCCUGAUGCAGCGACGCCGCGUGAGGGAUGACGGCCUUCGGGUUGUAAACCGUCUUCAAUAGGACGAAGCGCAAGUGACGGUACCUAUAGAAGAAGACACCGGCCGAACUACGUGCCAGCAGCCGCGGUAA
This 479-nucleotide ribosomal RNA is filed under the name uncultured bacterium. RNAcentral describes it as "bacterial SSU rRNA". It matches the Rfam family "Bacterial small subunit ribosomal RNA", at positions 28 to 523 of the family's 1533-position model. The record is from RNAcentral.